Galeopterus variegatus (Sunda flying lemur) is the source of this 272-nucleotide long non-coding RNA. RefSeq lists it as uncharacterized. NCBI's taxonomy places the organism in Eukaryota, Metazoa, Chordata, Mammalia, Dermoptera, Cynocephalidae. The record is from RefSeq and is a predicted model, not a curated record. The transcript has 3 exons.
CACCUGGGAGGAGUGGCAGUACCUGGAUGAUGAUCAGAGGAGCCUGUGCAGGGAUGUGAUGCUGGAGACCUAUAGCAGCCUGGUGGUGUUGGGCUGCUGCAUUCCCAAAUCAGAGGUGAUCUUCAAGUUGGAGCAGGGAGCAGAGUCAUGGACAUUAGAAGAAACCCUCAACCAGAGCCUACAAGUGUGAUAUUCUGCUGUCACCGAAGUCACCACCAAAGAUAGCCUUCACCAAAUGUAUUCCCUGGACUUCGGACUUCUGCCCUCAGAAA